AUUGAACGCUGGCGGCAGGCCUAACACAUGCAAGUCGAGCGGAUGAAGCGAGCUUGCUCCUGGAUUCAGCGGCGGACGGGUGAGUAAUGCCUAGGAAUCUGCCUGGUAGUGGGGGAUAACGUCCGGAAACGGGCGCUAAUACCCCAUACGUCCUGAGGGAGAAAUUGGGGGAUCUUCGGACCUCACGCUAUCAGAUGAGCCUAGGUCGGAUUAGCUAGUUGGUGGGGUAAAUGCCUACCAAGGCGACGAUCCGUAACUGGUCUGAGAGGAUGAUCAGUCACACUGGAACUGAGACACGGUCCAGACUCCUACGGGAGGCAGCAGUGGGGAAUAUUGGACGAUGGGCGAAAGCCUGAUCCAGCCAUGCCGCGUGUGUGAAGAAGGUCUUCGGAUUGUAAAGCACUUUAAGUUGGGAGGAAGGGCAGUAAGUUAAUACCUUGCUGUUUUGACGUUACCAACAGAAUAAGCACCGGCUAACUUCGUG
RNAcentral lists this ribosomal RNA (484 nucleotides) under uncultured bacterium. Its description in RNAcentral is "partial 16S ribosomal RNA". It matches the Rfam family "Bacterial small subunit ribosomal RNA", at positions 30 to 507 of the family's 1533-position model. The record is from RNAcentral.